This is a long non-coding RNA of Culex quinquefasciatus (southern house mosquito), 345 nucleotides long. RefSeq lists it as uncharacterized. The record is from RefSeq and is a predicted model, not a curated record. The transcript is spliced from 3 exons. NCBI's taxonomy places the organism in Eukaryota, Metazoa, Arthropoda, Insecta, Diptera, Culicidae.
UCGUCCACUUGGUCCUGAGUCGCGGAAGAGGCAGCAGCGCCGAUCCAGUAGUCUAGCCCCCCGGUGUGUUUAGUGACGUGUCCAACCUUAGCUUAGCUAGUAGUUUGUGCGGUCCGAUUCUGUGUGCGAAGAGGAAUUAAAAGAGUCGGAACCAACCGCCUCCUACCAGCUCGUGCUCGCCACACCGCCACCAAAAGCCUUAGCCGCCCUGCUGACCCCGCGGUCUCAGCGAUCGAGCCCCGGAAGUCCCACUGGGAUCCGGAAGGGAGACCACACGCUACACGUGGCUCCAGGGAGAGCCAUCCAUCGCGCCAGCCGUUCCUGUCCAGCCGCUGGUCCAGAUUC